RNAcentral lists this ribosomal RNA (229 nucleotides) under uncultured bacterium. RNAcentral's name for it is "partial 16S ribosomal RNA". It matches the Rfam family "Bacterial small subunit ribosomal RNA", at positions 118 to 347 of the family's 1533-position model. The record is from RNAcentral.
UGGGUGACCUGCCCUCAGCUCUGGGAUAAGCCUGGGAAACUGGGUCUAAUACUGGAUAUUCACUUCUCAUCGCAUGGUGGGUGGUGGAAGGUUUUUUCGGCUGGGGAUGGGCCCGCGGCCUAUCAGCUUGUUGGUGGGGUGAUGGCCUACCAAGGCGACGACGGGUAGCCGGCCUGAGAGGGCGUCCGGCCACACUGGGACUGAGACACGGCCCAGACUCCUACGGGAG